AGAGUUUGAUCCUGGCUCAGAUUGAACGCUGGCGGCAGGCCUAACACAUACAAGUCGAGCGGAUGAAGGGAGCUUGCUCCUGGAUUCAGCGGCGGACGGGUGAGUAAUGCCUAGGAAUCUGCCUGGUAGUGGGGGAUAACGUUCCGAAAGGAACGCUAAUACCGCAUACGUCCUACGGGAGAAAGCAGGGGACCUUCGGGCCUUGCGCUAUCAGAUGAGCCUAGGUCGGAUUAGCUAGUUGGUGAGGUAAUGGCUCACCAAGGCGACGAUCCGUUACUGGUCUGAGAGGAUGAUCAGUCACACUGGAACUGAGACACGGUCCAGACUCCUACGGGAGGCAGCAGUGGGGAAUAUUGGACAAUGGGCGAAAGCCUGAUCCAGCCAUGCCGCGUGUGUGAAGAAGGUCUUCGGAUUGUAAAGCACUUUAAGUUGGGAGGAAGGGCUGUAGGCUAAUAUCCUGCGGUUUUGACGUUACCAACAGAAUAAGCACCGGCUAACUUCGUGCCAGCAGCCGCGGUAAUACGAAGGGUGCAAGCGUUAAUCGGAAUUACUGGGCGUAAAGCGCGCGUAGGUGGUUCGUUAAGUUGGAUGUGAAAGCCCCGGGCUCAACCUGGGAACUGCAUCCAAAACUGGCGAGCUAGAGUACGGUAGAGGGUAGUGGAAUUUCCUGUGAAGCGGUGAAAUGCGUAGAUAUAGGAAGGAACACCAGUGGCGAAGGCGACUACCUGGACUGAUACUGACACUGAGGUGCAAAAGCGUGGGGAGCAAACAGGAUUAGAUACCCUGGUAGUCCACGCCGUAAACGAUGUCAACUAGCCGUUG
This 822-nucleotide ribosomal RNA is filed under the name uncultured Pseudomonas sp. RNAcentral's name for it is "bacterial SSU rRNA". It matches the Rfam family "Bacterial small subunit ribosomal RNA", at positions 8 to 825 of the family's 1533-position model. The record is from RNAcentral. Lineage: Bacteria; Pseudomonadati; Pseudomonadota; Gammaproteobacteria; Pseudomonadales; Pseudomonadaceae.